UAGACAGAAGCCUGCGGGUAUUUGGGCAUCUAGCUGUUAAUUAGAGUUUUGUGGGAUCGAGGCCCACCUGUCUAG
This 75-nucleotide transfer RNA is filed under the name Merops viridis (blue-throated bee-eater). RNAcentral's name for it is "tRNA-Asn". RNAcentral also lists the same sequence under 1 other name. The record is from RNAcentral. Lineage: Eukaryota; Metazoa; Chordata; Aves; Coraciiformes; Meropidae.